AAUCCAUAGGUUAAUGAGGCGAACCGGGGGAACUGAAACAUCUAAGUACCCCGAGGAAAAGAAAUCAACCGAGAUUCCCCCAGUAGCGGCGAGCGAACGGGGAGGAGCCCAGAGCCUGAAUCAGCAUGUGUGUUAGUGGAAGCGUCUGGAAAGGCGCGCGAUACAGGGUGACAGCCCCGUACACAAAAGCGCAUGUGCUGUGAGCUCGAUGAGUAGGGCGGGACACGUGGUAUCCUGUCUGAAUAUGGGGGGACCAUCCUCCAAGGCUAAAUACUCCUGACUGACCGAUAGUGAACCAGUACCGUGAGGGAAAGGCGAAAAGAACCCCGGCGAGGGGAGUGAAAAAGAACCUGAAACCGUGUACGUACAAGCAGUGGGAGCCCCACCACCAAAGCAUUUGCUGUACCGCGUUGACGGAGCGAAGCGACGUCAAACCGAUAAAACAGCAGUGUAAAGUGAGCCGCAGGGCGCUUUGCGCGACAGCGCAAAGGCAGGCGGUUUCGCGUAGCGAAAGCGAAUGCUUUGG
This 526-nucleotide ribosomal RNA is filed under the name Salmonella enterica subsp. enterica serovar Enteritidis. RNAcentral describes it as "partial 23S ribosomal RNA". The stretch from base 1 to 366 matches the Rfam family "Bacterial large subunit ribosomal RNA", at positions 161 to 565 of the family's 2925-position model. Lineage: Bacteria; Pseudomonadati; Pseudomonadota; Gammaproteobacteria; Enterobacterales; Enterobacteriaceae. The record is from RNAcentral.